AUGUUAAUAAAAUGAAAGUGAAAAUGUAAAACCCUGCCAAAACCCGAACCCACCAAAACCCUCGCUGCUGCUCACUGCUGGGCUCACUGCUGACCUCUGACCUGUCCCUGUCGUGAUCGUUGAUCAUGUGGAAGCUUCACCCCCAGCCUCUGCUGGCGAUCAAGGCCAAUGUCUCCUCCAACCCAAAAACCUGGAUCGUUAUCGGUCUCACCGUCGCAGGGAUCGUGGUCCUGGCCGAGACCCACCGCCGAAGACGACGCCGAACGGAACCAUUUAUAGAGCCCCGCUUCCAACUCCUUCCCUUCCCUCAGCCCCCUCUCCCCGCCGCCACUCAACCCCUCUCCUCCCUCUCCUUCGCUAUCUCCGACAUAUUUGAUGUGAAGGGUUAUGUGACGGGGUUUGGGAGUCCAGAUUGGGCGCGAACGCAUGAAGCGGCGACCAAGACGGCGUUCGUUGUGACGGCUCUGCUAAAAAAUGGGGCUACUUGCGUUGGCCACACCGUCAUGGACGAGCUCAAUUUUGGGAUCACUGGUGAGAAUGUGCAUUAUGGAACGCCUGUGAAUCCCGAAUUACAAUCUCACAUUCCGGGAGGAUCUUCCAGUGGUUCUGCUGUGGCUGUUGCAGCCGGUCUUGUUGACUUUGCUCUUGGUACUGAUACAACUGGAUGUGUUAGAAUUCCAGCAUCAUUUUGUGGUGUCAUUGGGUACCGACCGUCUCAUGGGGCUGUAUCUAUGCUUGGAGUUUUGCCAAAUUCACAAAGUUUAGACGCUGUUGGAAUUUUUGCCUGCGAUCCAUCUAUUCUACAUCGUGUUGGACAUGUUUUGCUUCAACUGAAUUCUGUGGAACCUAAAAGGGCGAGACGCCUUAUUUUUGCUGAUGAUCUCUUUCAGCUUCCUAAAAUUCCUACUGAGAAGACAGUACAUGUUGUCAGCAAAGCAAUUGAACAUCUAUCUGGGUACCAACCUCCAAAGCAUAUGAAUUUUAGUCAGUAUAUUGCUUCAAAUGUACCCAGUUUAAAAGCAUUUCGUGAAGAAUCCACAAAACAUCAAAAUGGAGUAUUUACUUUGAAAGCUCUCUCUUCUGUGAUGCUUUUGAUACAGAGUUGUGAAUUCAAAACCAAUCAUGAAGAAUGGGUUAAAUCAGCGAAACCAAAGCUAGGGCCAGAUGUAUCAGAUCGUGUUCGUGCAGCAAUUAACUCUACAAAUGAAAACAUGAAAACCCUAUAUAAAGUAAGGACUGAGAUGAGAGCUGCCCUUCAAAGUCUUUUAAAGGAUGACGGAAUAUUAGUGAUUCCCACAAUCGCAGAUCCGCCAUUAAAGCUGAAUACAAAGAAGGGGGGCUCAUCUGAGUUUAAUGAUAGAACAUUAGCAUUAACAAGCAUUGCCAGCAUGUCUGGGUGCUGUCAGGUUACGGUACCAGUGGGAGAGCACAAUGACUGCCCCAUCUCUGUUUCAUUCAUCGCGUUCCAUGGUGUUGAUAAAUUUCUCCUUGAUACAGUCUUGGAUAUGUACUCUUCAGUUCAGGAGAAAGUCAGCAUUGCAUCCCAUUCAUUGCCAUUGCCAGAUACCAAUGGGAACAUGGAUGCUUCAGAACUCUUAAAAGAGAAGGGAAAUGCUGCAUUUAAGGGAAGGCAAUGGAAUAAGGCUGUCAACUAUUAUACUGAAGCUAUCAAAUUGAACAUGAUGAGCACAACUUACUACUCCAACCGCGCAGCUGCUUACUUGGAGUUGGGGUGCUUCCAGCAAGCUGAAGAGGACUGCAGCAAGGCAAUAUCACUUGACAAAAAGAAUGUGAAGGCAUAUCUUAGGCGCGGAACAGCUAGAGAAUCACUUCUUUGUUAUAAGGAGGCUGCUCAAGAUUUCAAGCAUGCCCUUGUUCUUGAACCUCAAAAUAAGGUUGCCAGUCUUGCUGAAAAAAGACUAAGGAAACUGCUGAGUUGAGUCCCUGCGAACAAAAAUUAUGUGGCACAAUACUCGUGCAGAAGAAAACUGAGAGAGACCAUUCAGACAGAGAGUUGAUGUCCUUAUUACUUUUAGGACGUAGAAGUUCAUUCGGUCAGAAUUGUUUUGUUACAAGUUCAUUGAUCGGAUCCGAUUAAGCGUUGCAGCUUGCGCUCCCGCAAUCACAGGUGUAAGAUUAACUCAAAGCUUGUUAAACAUGAAGCCAUGAAGGCCGAAUCAACUGCCGGUGGAUGAGUAUGAACUUCGAAAUUUGUGCAGCACAUCGAUUAAAUCACUCAUUCAGUGACGAUUAAUGUGAUGCUAAUGCAAUUUGUUAAGGCCGGUAUGACAGUCAUUUUGUCAUUGUCUUUAGUUUUCAAUUUUUAUGUUAGGGAUAGAGGUGAAAUUAUAUUGGAAAAGGAUAAGUUGAAAGAUGGGUCAUGGGUGAGAACGUGAGAGGGAGGGAGUAAUGAAGGAGAAUGUAUGAAAGAAUAACUCAAUUGAAAAGCAACUUGAGAUUGUUUCCU
Molecule: RNA transcript, 2467 nt
Organism: Pyrus x bretschneideri (Chinese white pear)
Lineage: Eukaryota; Viridiplantae; Streptophyta; Magnoliopsida; Rosales; Rosaceae
Gene name: outer envelope protein 64, mitochondrial-like
Exons: 14
Source: RefSeq, a predicted model, not a curated record